AUAAAUAAUUUUCAGUCAUGUGAAUAUAAUGACUAAGUGGUUAAAGACAAAUUACAGAACAGCUAGAACAGUCUGGUGGGUUCAUAAAAUGACAUCGCUUUACUGUAAUGCUGCCUUUAAAACCAG
This is a long non-coding RNA of Sander lucioperca (pikeperch), 126 nucleotides long. RefSeq lists it as uncharacterized. Lineage: Eukaryota; Metazoa; Chordata; Actinopteri; Perciformes; Percidae. The transcript has 3 exons. The record is from RefSeq and is a predicted model, not a curated record.